RNAcentral lists this ribosomal RNA (274 nucleotides) under uncultured bacterium. RNAcentral describes it as "partial 16S ribosomal RNA". It matches the Rfam family "Bacterial small subunit ribosomal RNA", at positions 523 to 796 of the family's 1533-position model. The record is from RNAcentral.
AUACGGAGGGUGCAAGCGUUAAUCGGAAUUACUGGGCGUAAAGCGCGCGUAGGCGGUUAGAUAAGUCGGAUGUGAAAUCCCUGGGCUCAACCUGGGAACUGCAUUCGAUACUGUCUAACUAGAGUAUGGUAGAGGGAAGUGGAAUUCCGGGUGUAGCGGUGAAAUGCGUAGAUAUCCGGAGGAACAUCAGUGGCGAAGGCGACUUCCUGGACCAAUACUGACGCUGAGGUGCGAAAGCGUGGGGAGCAAACAGGAUUAGAAACCCUUGUAGUCC